Molecule: long non-coding RNA, 1837 nt
Filed under: Sus scrofa (pig)
Lineage: Eukaryota; Metazoa; Chordata; Mammalia; Artiodactyla; Suidae
Description: lncRNA (ENSSSCG00015079746.1)
Source: RNAcentral
AAAAACCUUACUUUCUGUUUAAUUCGUUUUGCCAAACAAACACAGUGAAAACUUUAGUCUGACUAAUUGUACAGAAAAUAGAAUUUGUAACCAGUAGCAAACAUAACAGUAUAGACCUAAGUCCCUGGCAAGCUGGAUAUCCAUCAAGUCACCCAGACGGCCUCCUGGGAAGGAGGUUCUGGGAGGCAGAGGCACAGAUCUGCCAGUUCCAAUCAGAGUUACAGGGUACACCUGGAAAGGAAAAGCACAAAAAUAGAACUGAUGUUACUUGGAUCUCUUAUCACUACACAGGUAACUUUUCUCUGAUUGCUGGCCAAAUUCAAAGGUGUUGUCUUCCCAAACCCACAGUCCCUGGGCAUCCAGCCUGCAUCCCUAGGGUAUAAGUUUCAAGUUCAGUGGUUCUGAAGCCUCUGCUUAACCAGAACCUGCAACAUAAACUUGGAGGUGGGGGUGAAGGUGGGGAGGAGUAGACAAAGUCAUAAUCGCUGGUGUCACCAGUGUAGUCUGAGGUCCCAGACUUCCUUUAGGAGGAAACAAGAGAGGGUGCCAGGUCACCAGCAAGAGUCCAGUUAAGCCUCAGUACUGUUAACCAGUGUCCCAGAAAUAUGAGAGAGUUCAACAGCGGUGGCCUGAGGUCCCCCUAAGAUGGUAGGAGUCCAGGAAUCCCGAAGGCCGAAGGGGGACUCGUUCACAUUCCGUGCUUCUUGCGGAUGACAGCCAUCGCCAGCAGCCGAUCCUUCUCGCGGAGUUCUUCUCGGAGUUUGGCCUCAGUGAGACGCAGGUGACGGAUGCUGCCCUUCAUCUCCUUCAUCUUCACCUCCAUCAGCGCCAGGAUGUCCCGCUGCUCGUUCAGCUUGCGCAGGAGCUCCUCCUCCGUGGUGCCUGAUGACAACGAGUAAGAGUGGUCGGAGCCAGUAUCAGGGAAGCCCUCUUCCCCUACUACCACCAACUGGGGGCCCAUGGGGCACUCAGCGGCCUCCAGCCCCGCUGUAGCAGCCUCUAGCUCCGACGCAGCAGCUGCGGCGGCUGCGCCCUCUGCGGCCGCGAACUCCACUUGCACCGUCAGGUCGAUGGGCUUCACGUCUUCUCCCGUGGGAGUGGUGGGCGCCGGCUGGCCAGAUCCAGGAGCCUGGCUGCUGUCUACCGCGGCCUGAAGAGUGAGGAGCACAGCCGCAGAGGCAGACACUAGGUUCGGCUGCAGCUGGCCCGUCUGGGCAGUAGAGGCUGACGGCGACGGUUGCGGCGGCGGCGGCGGCUGCUGCUGCUGUUGUUGUUGCUGCUGUUGUUGUUGUUGCUGCUGCUGCUGCUGCCUGCGGCGGGCGGCUGCAGCCCCCGCGGGUCGCCGUGCUACUUUGCGCUCGUUGACGCCGCGCAGCGGGAAGAUGGUGGGGACCCGCACGGUGUAGGUUUUGCGGCCGCCCUGGAAGUGGACGCUGCAGAGACGGUGGCCUGUGGUGGGCUGGAAGGUGGAGAAGCACCCACUGACGCCAGCACGGGACACAUUCUUGAGCCAGAGGCGCCGCAGCUCAGCGUCCUUGGGGAACGUGUAGAAGUGCAACGCCUUAUCCCGGUGCGAGUUGUUGUAGCAGCCCGGCACGCAGCACGUAAAGCCAGGCAUGGCUGCGCCGCGCGGCCCGGCCCGGCCCACCGGCCUCCAGAGCCUUUCGACGGCCGGGUCUAUCUGCCGCCGCCCGCCCCUCGACGGGCGGCGCCGCGCGAGGCCUUGGGCGGCCUCCCACUACUGCCGCCCGGUGCAGCCGGCCUGGCCCGGCGUCCCGUGCCCAGAAUACGCCUCCCGCCGGCCCGCGCCGAACCACCCGCCCAGCCGCCCGCCUGC